This is a long non-coding RNA of Heterocephalus glaber (naked mole-rat), 2067 nucleotides long. The record is from Ensembl. NCBI's taxonomy places the organism in Eukaryota, Metazoa, Chordata, Mammalia, Rodentia, Bathyergidae.
GCCGACCAGACAAAUGAGAAAAGGGGGUGGUAGAGGACUGAGAUCAGAUAGGAGUGAAGCCUAGCACGUUGGGCAGGCAGGAUUGCACUGGGGAGCCGAAGACUUUUCACUCCUUACCAUGCAUGCUCCCCGCCCCCCAGCCUACCCCCCCCCCCAAGGGUGGGCAGACCUGGCAGAAGGCUUGUUCCUAGCAUUGGGGUGUGCGUGGGGGGCUCGUUUUGGGAAGGGGGCGGAAGGGAUUAGUCCCAGGGAUGCGAGAGGAUCGGUUCUGGCUGGGGGCGGGGUGGGGAAGAUGCCUUUAGCUGCAAAAGCCCCGGGCGGCCAGGUUGGCUGCCCGCCUCGGCGGGCUCGCGGGGCGGAGAAGAGGGUCGGGCUGCAGGAGGAGGCGCCUGGACCCCUGAGCAGCGCCCAGGUAGCUGUCCUCGCCGGGACGGGCGGCGCGUCCGCAGCGGGGUGUGCACAGGAGCGUGAGCACCCGGAGGUGCACCGCGAACAACAAUGCGCUCCGCGCCCGCGGGCGGGCGCCGGGCAGGGCAGGGCUGGGCAGGGCCGGGCCGGGCCGGGCCCGCGCCGCUUACCUUGACUCGGCCUCGAGGCGCGCGCGGCGCCGGCGUGCUCCGGGGCCGGGCGGCGGCGGCGGCGGCGGCGACGGGCGGAUGGCGGCGGCACGGCGAGGGCGGGGAGGGCGCUCCCGGGGCCUCGUCGCGCUCCGGCUCGGCGGGCUCCGGCUCGCGCCGCGGCCGCGGCUGCUGCCGGGGGGCGCGGCGGGCGCAGCAGAGCGGCGGGCGGCGGCGGCGGCGCGAGCGGCUCCCUCCAGUCCCCGCGCGGGCGGCGGCGGCAGCGUCGUCGAGCGGUGCAGACAAAGGAGGGGCGGAGGGAGGAGACAGAGGGUGUGGGAGCGGCGGCUUCACCGGCGCGGGCGGGCGGGCGGCGGCCGCGCUUCCCUCGCUCCUCGGCGGCGGGGACCGAGAGAGGGAGCUGUGUCUGAGGAGACGCCAAAAUCCCCCUUAGCGGUGCCUGCGGGAGGGGGAGGGGGCACAAGAUGGCGGCGGCCGGGGGGCGGGAGUUCAGCUCAUGGAUCCCGGCGGGCGGCGGAGGGGAGACCGGGCCGGCGGAGGCGGCGGCGGCAACGGGCGGGGGAGGGGGCCGAUCCCGCGUCUCCCCUCAGCAGACAAUACAAGCGCCUCGGAGCGAGUCCCCGAACCUGCCCUAGCCAAAAUGGCGGCCGAGAAAGAGCGGAAGUGACGUCUGCUGUUGCUGGCACUUGACAUUCUUCCAACUCAGUCAUGGACUCUCCUCUUUGGCCUGAAGAAACAAGUGGAAUCCCCAGUGUUUUGAGGCCAGUGGACUGGUGAAGCCGAAGGAUGAAGUGAUGUCGCCAAUGGCCCUCCACAAGAUCCUUAAGAACACUUUGUAAUCCUAGGGCAAGUUCUAGUGCUCCCACAAUCUGGAUAGCAUGACAGCACAUGGACAGAGUGCUUGAAAACGUUAGGCCAGUCCCAACACUUAUCGUAGAGUGCAUCUGAGAGUGUAUCAUUGGUGAAAUGUAUUUAAAAGUAAUAAAAGCCAAUGGUUAAGGAUUAACCAAGGCUAGUUUUUCAAUACGUGCUCUGUAAAUACACUUUUACUACUGUUCCUUUUAGUUUACAAGGUAAGAUAGUUUCAAAUAAUACUUAACAUCUCAAAAGAAUCUAACUGAUAUGAAUUGUGGUUAACUAUACUCAAUGUCUAAGACUUUGGUUAGCAAGUUUAACAAACUUUCAUCCAACACACUGUUCCAUUAACUUCUGCAAUUUCACUAACAUCUUUAAAAGCCAAAUCAGUACUUCAGUAGAAAACAGGAGCUGGAAAAAGUUGUUUAAAAAACAACAGCAGGGGAGGGUUUGGCAAAGCAUUUGACUCAGGAAGAUGAAGAAUCUAUACACUGUAUAAUACAAGCAGAAAGCUACUAUGAAAUAAGCAAAAUAAGGUAAUUUUUAGUUUUCCUUUGGUAUACUUAGAUUUCAUAGUGAUAAUACAAAUACAGAGGAAGAGCAUCUGGAUUUCAUCAUUGGCCUCAUUUAUGAA